CAGGAGUGCUUUUGGUGACUCUGGGAAACGGCCGACCCGGGGAGGCGGCGGGCUCCCUGCAGCUCCCUUGAGAGGAGCUUCCCGUGUCCGGGUGCAACGUGCGACCUCUCCGUUUUCGUCUUGUCAUGCGAGCAAGUUACUGAUUAAUGCAGUUUAGCAAGAGUCUGCCGUGAUAAGAUAUCGCUGAUCUGUUGUGGUUUCCAUGUUUUGGUCAUCUGAGUUCACCUUGCGUUUUCAGAGUUUUACGUGCUGCUUCCAAAUGGGUGUAGCUCCUGGUCCGUAUGCUUGUCCUUACCUCGCCUACCUUCCUCGCGCCGUUGCGUGGUUCGCUGUCUUGACGGUUCACCAAACUCAGUAUCUCUCCCCACGAUUUUAUUUCUUGCCCUCUUCCUCCGAUUUCCUUCUUUAUUACCAAGUAGAAUAAAACCUGAAAACAUUUCAGAAGUUUGAGGCACUUCCUGACGCUCAGAGGGCCCGUAUGGGAUUUUUGCUGGAAGAGAUGCAUCCCGAGGCCUUGCCACUUUCUGCCUGGAUAAGGAGGCCCUGAGGGAUGAAUACGAUGACCUCUCUGAUCUCAACGCUACGCAGCAAGAGACCUUGAGGGACUGGGAAUCACAAUUCACUUUUAAAUAUCACCAUGUUGGUAAGCUGCUGAAGGAAGGGGAGGAACCUACUAUAUACUCUGAUGAAGAAGAAAAAAAUGCUCAAGGUGGAAAGAAAGACUAGAGAAUGUAGUGAGGAACAAUCCAUUUUUGUAUCUUAGAGGAUCAUUUGUAACAUUCCACUUCUGUUUUACAAGUUGCAAUCGCAAGAAUGCUUACAAAAGGUCCAGGGUUACAGCAAAUUGCAUUUCUUCUCAAAGGUCUCCUUUUCAAAUUCAGUGGUAAACUAGUCAAGAUAAAUGUCUGUCUUCCUUUAAACCUGCAUAAUCUGAAGUAUGCACAAAAAUUGCUUGUGCAAAAGUAAACUGCAAUUUUUGCAAUAAAGGACUAUUACUGUUUUUCUUCUGCCACUAUUUAGUGCAGAGUAGGUUGAAAUCCAAAUCUUUGCAUUAACAACCUAGCACUGUUGCCACAAGCACAAGAGCAACUUCACAUACGUAACCCAAAUUCCACUAAAUUUGGUUUAGUGUUAGCUUUUGCAGGAUCUGGGCAUUGGGUUCUCAUUCUAAUUUCCUUAGAAAAGGGACUAUGUUUUAUUUGUCCAUGAAGCAUCAUACUCAUUUGUGGUGCAGUAUAAUUCAAUGUAACGUCAGAUAAUUUGGCUUUUUAAGGAAUUAAGAAGAGGCUUGCAGACAAAACACUAACUGCUUUUUAAAAAGCUAGUAAUUUUUGAGAGGUUAAAUCACUUAGAGACUUACAAAAUUUGUAAGGACUGAUGAAUACUUGAUAUAUUGAGUCAUGCAGCUGGAUUAACGUUCUUUGUUUACUUUUAAAGCACAUCUAAAGUGUUACAAAGGUUUAGCUAUUGAAUGCCCAGUUGGGCAUCCCCCCAAAAAAGGGACACCAUGAAGUAUGACUCAGCAGGACUGCUAUUCAUUCACUUUUCCUCUUGGCAAAACUCUUCUGCGAAUUUCAACAAAAUGAAAUUAAAGAGUGAAAAUCAGCUGCUAUUGAUUCUUAGGCCUAAGGUAUGUUCUAUAAAAAGACUUGCUGGUAUGGCAUGAUUAACAAGUGCUCUUGUACAUGCAGCUUUAACUAGAAGAAUGACGUUUAUGGGCAAUGUAACUUACAUAAGUUUUAUGUAUAAAAUAAAAUAACAUGGCACAAGCCGUUUCUGUGUCAAGGCUUUUGUUACUUUGGAAUGUUGCUGUUAGAAAGAAACAGCAAACUCUCGUGCAUAACUAGCAGCAUUAUGCCUGGGAGAUGGGUACCUCAUCUUUGAAUUACUUCUUACUUAUUUUCUCUCUUAGCUCACAUCCAUGCUUAAUAACUAGGUUUGUUCCGACUGUGUAACCAAGUCUCAUACCAAAGGGGGCUGGUAGCUGGUUUUGACCAAGGGAAAACAUAAAUGUGGUCCUUCAUCACCCAAAAUACUUCUACAAAACUUUAGCAGGAAUUUCAAGGAGAGAACUAAUGAUUUGCUGAUCUCUCAUAAGUCUGUUUCUUGUCCAGGUGAUUCGCUGUGGGUACCUGUUUGGUAUAGUUCCCCUUAUCUGGUUUCUCUGGUUCAGCUCUGCUGCUGAGUCACUUCAAUUUGGCAGCAAGACCAAAAUGAUGAACUGAGUCCUUUAGUGGGGAAGAGUGUGUGAACUAAACAAAAUUGUUAAAAAAAAGUAGACUGUAUUCCAUAACAGCAGCUUUCAUAAACAAUUUAACACAACACGUUAAAGUGCCUGAGACCAUCUGUGGUAAGAACUGAUGACUUUCCCUCAGUCCUAACAGUUUGAUGGCAUUUUGUCUUUUGGUCAUACUGGGCCUUCAAAUGAAGAGCGCGGUUGUCUGGGCCAGAUAGCUUGCAUGAAGUGUUAAGUGUUUGAACUACCUAAUGAAGGUCUAGAGACAAAUGUAAAUCUAGUCAUGACCUUUGUGUUGCCAUUUUAUUUUUAGAGACGUUUAUACUCUUUGGAAACUACUUCUAAUGGUUUUACCUCAAAUCAGAAAUGUGCUUUUAUUUGUUUAAAGCAGAAAAUAAAAUUAAUGUUGCAUA
This is a non-coding RNA of Struthio camelus australis, 2649 nucleotides long. NCBI's taxonomy places the organism in Eukaryota, Metazoa, Chordata, Aves, Struthioniformes, Struthionidae. The record is from RefSeq and is a predicted model, not a curated record.